Molecule: long non-coding RNA, 409 nt
Filed under: Homo sapiens (human)
Lineage: Eukaryota; Metazoa; Chordata; Mammalia; Primates; Hominidae
Description: HSALNT0366373
Source: RNAcentral
GGCAACCCGCUGGAGUUGGCUUCCCCAAUGUGGAAGUUUUGUUCUUUCUCUCUUUGGGUGCACGCUGCUUUUAUGAGCUGUAACGCUCACUGCGAAGAUCUGCAGCUUCCCUCCUAAGCCCACAGAGACCAUGAGCCCACCAGGAGGAAUGAACAACUCCAGACACGCCGCUUUAAGAGCUUGUAACACUCACCACGAAGGUCUGUAGCUUCAGUCCUGAGCCAGUGAGACCACGAACCCACCAGAAGGAAGAAACUCCGAACACAUCUUAACAUCAGAAGGAACAAACUCCAGACACGCCGCCUUUAAGAACUGUAGCACUCACCGCGAGGGUCCGCGGCUUCAUUCUUAGUCAGUGAGACCAAGAACCCACCAAUUCCAGACACAGUGUGACAGACAAGCCAUGGAG